GUUAUCACGGGAGACACACGGCGGGUGCUAACGUCCGUCGUGAAGAGGGAAACAACCCAGACCGCCAGCUAAGGUCCCAAAGUCAUGGUUAAGUGGGAAACGAUGUGGGAAGGCCCAGACAGCCAGGAUGUUGGCUUAGAAGCAGCCAUCAUUUAAAGAAAGCGUAAUAGCUCACUGGUCGAGUCGGCCUGCGCGGAAGAUGUAACGGGGCUAAACCAUGCACCGAAGCUGCGGCAGCGAACGUAUCACCCAAGACAACUUUACGGAGUUGACGAUUGACGGAGCGAAGCGACGUCAAAGCGUUCAUUAAAGUCGAGUUGGCUUAGGGAUACGUUCGUUGGGUAGGGGAGCGUUCUGUAAGCCUGUGAAGGUGUGUCGUGAGGCAUGCUGGAGGUAUCAGAAGUGCGAAUGCUGACAUAAGUAACGAUAAAGCGGGUGAAAAGCCCGCUCGCCGGAAGACCAAGGGUUCCUGUCCAACGUUAAUCGGGGCAGGGUGAGUCGACCCCUAAGGCGAGGCCGAAAGGCGUAGUCGAUGGGAAACGGGUUAAUAUUCCCGUACUUGGUGUUACUGCGAAGGGGGGACGGAGAAGGCUAUGUUGGCCGGGCGACGGUUGUCCCGGUUUAAGCGUGUAGGUGUGUGUUCCAGGUAAAUCCGGUUCACUUUAACACUGAGGCGUGAUGACGAGGCACUACGGUGCUGAAGCAACAAAUGCCCUGCUUCCAGGAAAAGCCUCUAAGCAUCAGGUAACAUCAAAUCGUACCCCAAACCGACACAGGUGGUCAGGUAGAGAAUACCAAGGCGCUUGAGAGAACUCGGGUGAAGGAACUAGGCAAAAUGGUGCCGUAACUUCGGGAGAAGGCACGCUGACACGUAGGUGAAGUGAUUUACUCACGGAGCUGAAGUCAGUCGAAGAUACCAGCUGGCUGCAACUGUUUAUUAAAAACACAGCACUGUGCAAACACGAAAGUGGACGUAUACGGUGUGACGCCUGCCCGGUGCCGGAAGGUUAAUUGAUGGGGUCAGCGCAAGCGAAGCUCCUGAUCGAAGCCCCGGUAAACGGCGGCCGUAACUAUAACGGUCCUAAGGUAGCGAAAUUCCUUGUCGGGUAAGUUCCGACCUGCACGAAUGGCGUAAUGAUGG
Molecule: ribosomal RNA, 1141 nt
Filed under: Salmonella enterica subsp. enterica serovar Typhimurium
Lineage: Bacteria; Pseudomonadati; Pseudomonadota; Gammaproteobacteria; Enterobacterales; Enterobacteriaceae
Description: bacterial LSU rRNA
Rfam family: Bacterial large subunit ribosomal RNA
Source: RNAcentral